RNAcentral lists this long non-coding RNA (782 nucleotides) under Sinocyclocheilus grahami. RNAcentral describes it as "lncRNA (ENSSGRG00000039693.1)". The record is from RNAcentral. Lineage: Eukaryota; Metazoa; Chordata; Actinopteri; Cypriniformes; Cyprinidae.
GUGUGUGUGUGUGUGUUUGUGUCUGUGUGUCUCUGUGAGUGUGUGUGUGUGUGUGUUUGUGUCUGUGUGUCUCUGUGAGUGUGUGUGUGUGUGUGUUUGUGUCUGUGUGUCUCUGUGAGUGUGUGUCUGUGUGUGUUUGUGUCUGUGUGUCUCUGUGAGUGUGUGUCUGUGUGUGUUUGUGUCUGUGUGUCUCUGUGAGUGUGUGUCUGUGUGUGUUUGUGUCUGUGUGUCUCUGUGAGUGUGUGUCUGUGUGUGUUUGUGUCUGUGUGUCUCUGUGAGUGUGUGUGUGUGUGUGUUUGUGUCUGUGUGUCUCUGUGAGUGUGUGUGUUUUCAGCCCGCGGAGGGUCCCGCGCCGGAGGCUGCAGGAUUGUGGAGCGCUCAAAGCCCCAGCUGCGCUCUGCCUGGAAACACGCUGAGCUCCACACUGAACACCAGCGCCAAACCGGCCCGAUCACACACCAUCGAGGUGAUGAACAGAGAUUCCACUUCCUGUGCGGCUCAGGGCACCAUGUUCCACUUCCUGUCCAAACUCCGCCGCCACGCCAGCCUGGAGGGAGCGGGUCCGUUCUGGAGACUGGACACCAGAGGUUCUCCGCGGAGACGUGCAUUUCAGAGGCAGCGGGCAGCCAGCGAGACUCUGGAUCGUGUAGAAGAAACCUUGCAGGGUGGAGUCAGCGACUUCUUGUUGCGAAAACCCACCGCGCUGCCUCAGGUGGAGCCGCCAAGACGCCUCUCAGCCGGUUCUUUGGAUGCAGGAGCUCCUCCUGCCCUCAGCAGGUACG